UACGGAAGGCAGCAGUGGGGAAUAUUGCACAAUGGGCGAAAGCCUGAUGCAGCUAUGCCGCGUGUAUGAAGAAGGCCUUAGGGUUGUAAAGUACUUUCAUCGGGGAGGAAAAACAAAACUAAUAAUUUUAUUUCUUGACGUUACCCGAAAAAGAAGCACCGGCUAACUCCGUGCCAGCAGCCGCGGUAAUACGGAGGGUGCUAGCGUUAAUCAGAAUUACUGGGCGUAAAGAGCACGUAGGUGGUUUUUUUAAGUCAGAUGUGAAAUCCCUGGGCUUAACCUAGGAACUGCAUUUUGAAACUGAAAUACUAGAGUAUCGUAGAGGGAGGUAGAAUUCUAGGUGUAGCGGUGAAAUGCGUAGAUAUCUGGAGGAAUACCUGUGGCGAAGGCGGCCCCUGGACGAAGACUGACGCUCAGGUGCGAAAGCGUGGGGAGCAAACAGGGAUUAGAUACC
This 454-nucleotide ribosomal RNA is filed under the name uncultured bacterium. Its description in RNAcentral is "bacterial SSU rRNA". It matches the Rfam family "Bacterial small subunit ribosomal RNA", at positions 340 to 786 of the family's 1533-position model. The record is from RNAcentral.